Molecule: ribosomal RNA, 432 nt
Filed under: uncultured bacterium
Lineage: Bacteria
Description: bacterial SSU rRNA
Rfam family: Bacterial small subunit ribosomal RNA
Source: RNAcentral
GACGAACGCUGGCGGCGUGCUUAACACAUGCAAGUGGAGCGACGAACCGGGGCUUGCCCCGGGGCAGAGCCGCGAACGGGUGAGUAACACGUGGGUAACCUGCCUCAAUGAUUGGGACAACCCCGGGGAAACUCGGGCUAAUACCAAAUGUGUUCACUCCUUCUAAGGGGAGUGAGGAAAGGAAGCUUCGGCCUCCGCAUUGAGAUGGGCCCGCGGCCCAUUAGCUUGUUGGUGAGGUAACGGCUCACCAAGGCUUCGAUGGGUAGCUGGUCUGAGAGGACGAUCAGCCACACUGGGACUGAGACACGGCCCAGACUCCUACGGGAGGCAGCAGUGGGGAAUCUUGCACAAUGCGCGAAAGCGUGAUGCAGCAACGCCGCGUUGGGGGAAAGACGGGCCUUCGGGUUGUUAAACCCCCGUUUACACGUUGGG